CUGACAUCAAUGAUGAAAUGCCUGUAAACUCUAUGAAGGGGAUGGGCAUUUCUGAAAAACUGUUCAG
Molecule: non-coding RNA, 67 nt
Organism: Danio rerio (zebrafish)
Lineage: Eukaryota; Metazoa; Chordata; Actinopteri; Cypriniformes; Danionidae
Source: Rfam